CUACGGGUGGCACCAGUGGGGAAUAUUGCACAAUGGGCGAAAGCCUGAUGCAGCAACGCCGCGUGAGCGAUGAAGGCCUUCGGGUCGUAAAGCUCUGUCCUCAAGGAAGAAUUUUGACGGUACUUGAGGAGGAAGCCCCGGCUAACUACGUGCCAGCAGCCGCGGUAAUACGUAGGGGGCUAGCGUUAUCCGGAAUUACUGGGCGUAAAGGGGGCGUAGGUGGUCUGACAAGUCAGGGGUGAAAGGCUACGGCUCAACCGUAGUAAGCCCUUGAAACUGUCGGACUUGAGUGCAGGAGAGGAAAGUGGAAUUCCCAGUGUAGCGGUGAAAUGCGUAGAUAUUGGGAGGAACAUCAGUGGCGAAGGCGACUUUCUGGACUGUAACUGACACUGAGGCACGAAAGCGUGGGGAGCAAACAGGAUUAGAUACCCGGGUAGUC
RNAcentral lists this ribosomal RNA (439 nucleotides) under uncultured bacterium. RNAcentral describes it as "partial 16S ribosomal RNA". It matches the Rfam family "Bacterial small subunit ribosomal RNA", at positions 339 to 795 of the family's 1533-position model. The record is from RNAcentral.